GAUGAACGCUGGCUACAGGCUUAACACAUGCAAGUCGUGGGGAAACGGCAUUAUGUGCUUGCACAUUCUGGACGUCGACCGGCGCACGGGUGAGUAUCGCGUAUCCAACCUGCCCCUUACUUGGGGAUACCCCGUUGAAAGACGGCCUAAUACCCGAUGUGUUUCAUUGACGGCAUCCGAUAUGAAACAAAGGUUUUUCCGGUAAGGGAUGGGGAUGCGUCUGAUUAGCUUGUUGGCGGGGCAACGGCCCACCAAGGCGACGAUCAGUAGGGGUUCUGAGAGGAAGGUCCCCCACAUUGGAACUGAGACACGGUCCAAACUCCUACGGGAGGCAGCAGUGAGGAAUAUUGGUCAAUGGACGCAAGUCUGAACCAGCCAAGUAGCGUGCAGGAUGACGGCCCUAUGGGUUGUAAACUGCUUUUAUGUGGGAAUAAAUUGGCGCACGUGUGCGCCAUUGCAUGUA
RNAcentral lists this ribosomal RNA (463 nucleotides) under Prevotella nigrescens. Its description in RNAcentral is "bacterial SSU rRNA". It matches the Rfam family "Bacterial small subunit ribosomal RNA", at positions 28 to 477 of the family's 1533-position model. The record is from RNAcentral. Lineage: Bacteria; Pseudomonadati; Bacteroidota; Bacteroidia; Bacteroidales; Prevotellaceae.